Molecule: transfer RNA, 47 nt
Filed under: Veronica lycica
Lineage: Eukaryota; Viridiplantae; Streptophyta; Magnoliopsida; Lamiales; Plantaginaceae
Description: partial tRNA-Leu
Source: RNAcentral
UUUCUCUUUCUUUUAAAAUGUAUUGGGGCGUAAAUCUUUUAUUAUUU